CAUGUAGGAAUCUUCCCUAUGGCCUGGAAUAACACGAGGAAACUUAGUGCUAAUACCGGAUAAGUCUUUACAGAGAAAGCUUUAUGCACCAUUGGAUGAGCCUGCACUUGAUUAGUUUGUUGGUGGGGUAAUGGCCUACCAAGACUUUGAUCAAUAGCUGAUUUGAGAGGAUGAUCAGCCACAUUGGGACUGAGACACGGCCCAAACUCCUACGGGAGGCAGCAGUGGGGAAUCUUAGACAAUGGGCGCAAGCCUGAUCUAGCCAUGCCGCGUGAGUGACGAAGGCCUUAGGGUCGUAAA
RNAcentral lists this ribosomal RNA (300 nucleotides) under uncultured Alphaproteobacteria bacterium. RNAcentral describes it as "bacterial SSU rRNA". It matches the Rfam family "Bacterial small subunit ribosomal RNA", at positions 114 to 429 of the family's 1533-position model. The record is from RNAcentral. Lineage: Bacteria; Pseudomonadati; Pseudomonadota; Alphaproteobacteria.